This 225-nucleotide long non-coding RNA is filed under the name Mytilus galloprovincialis (Mediterranean mussel). Lineage: Eukaryota; Metazoa; Mollusca; Bivalvia; Mytilida; Mytilidae. The record is from RNAcentral.
GUUUUGUUUCCGUAUAUUUUAUUUUCCAUUACUCAUGUUUUAUUUCCGUAUAUAUUUUAUGUUCCAUUGCUCAAGUGUUGUUUCCGUAUAUUUUAGCCGCUCGUCUUGAGCCUACCAAAUUAACACACUAUAUAGUAAUAAAAUUAUACUUUUAUUGUCAUUCAUUACUCUUAACAGACCAAUUAACAGACCGGGUUUUAUACAUCCGACCCAUUAACAGACCAG